CCUGUUGCACAAAAGUAGAAUUAAGACAUCCGGGAUAAAUGACUCAGCUGAGCUCAAUGAAGCCAAAACAUGUGCGUCCAGGCUUAAUUGGUUGCACAAAGACCAAGCCAGGAUGAGCAGACACGGAUUCAUUAAGCCAGGUGAAACCAAUCCUGGAUAGGUGCGCGCUCACGGCUCACUCAAAUAGACCCCGCCACAGAUCACAGAUUAACUGAUGUACCAUGGCAACUAGAGCCGCGUACUUUUCCCCGUCGGAAGCACAAAUCCUCAUGGAGGCAUACGAGGAGGUAAAAGAUAUAAUUAAGAAGAAAGGCAACACCGCCACAGUGAUAAAGCAAAGAGAAAAAGCGUGGCAAAGUAUUGCAGACCGCCUGAAUGCGUAAGUAGUGCACAAUUACACACUCACCGCUCCGCUGAAACAUCACAAUUACAAUUCAAAUAUUUAAUUCACAUCUCCAAAAAUGCAGUUGUACUGUAAUUAUGAAACGGUUAAAUGUUUAAUUGAAAUGCACUGCAGAUAUGAGUGAAAUUGUGUAAAGUAACUCCAUCACACUGUAUAAAACUAUGAUACAUUUUUUGAUAUUUUUACUGAAAACAAGACAAAAAUACCAAGUAAUUUUUUGCAGUGUGACUCCAUUAAAUGUGUGUGUGUGUGUGUGUGUGUGUGUGUGUAGAUUAAACAUGAACGGGCCAAAACGGACAUGGCAGCAGGUCAAAAUCAAAUACAAGAACAUUCUGCAGAAUGCAGUGAAAAAGAAUACCCACAGACAAGGCACGGGUGGUGGGUCACCAAAGGCUGACCUUACCCCAGCAGAGGACAUGGCCUUGGAGCUAAAUAAAGGCAGGCCCGUCUUAGAGGGGAUCCCUGGGGGGGAAAGAGACGAGCAUAGGUUCCUCCCAAGAUGCCACCCGCUUCAUUCAAGUGCCUGGCAGCACUGUGUUCCUGUUAGAGCCACCAGCACAAGCACCAGACGAUGCUGAUCCAGGUGAAGGCCCCAGUGCAGCAGCAACAGCACAUGAUGGAGACGAUGAUGAGGAGGAGACCAUCUCUCUGGAUUCCAGAAGGCAUGAGGACCCAGAUGCUAUACAGUGGGAAAACCAGCCUGGCAACAUAGUGCGUAUUAAUAAAAGGACACCACAUCCUGCCAAAUUCCAGCUGCGCUAAUUGUAUUGUGUUCACAGAGCUCACAAGCUAUCAGAAAGUUGUAUGGCAACCACCUCCGGCGCCAAAUAGAACUGGCAGACAUAGACAUUCAGUACAAGAAGAAAAAGAUGGAAAAUCUUGCACUGGAGUCCGAAAUAAAAAAAGAGGACAAUUAGGAAACUGGACCUUGAAAUAAAAAAACUUGAGAGGGAGCUCCAAGAAGAUGACACAGCUCAAAAUAAAAAUGAGCAAUCAGUACAACCAAGUCAUCGUUAUAAGGCAUCGCCCUCUUUUGCCCACCCCCCCAGCACCAGGUGUGGCCACUAGCCUAUAUGAAGGCCCAAAAUUGUGUGUUCCUUUCUGCUCUGACAAUGGCAUGCCCAUUCGUGCGAGAUGUGGUGGAUGAAGAAGCACUUGUGCUGAGGAGAGCCUUCAGGCGAGAAAGGGUCUUCAGGGACCGGUUGGACCCACUGGCCUUCCCUGAUGACCAUCUAUAUGAAAGAUACAGGUUUUCUGCAGAUGGCAUCAGGUAUCUAUGCAGACUACUGGGUCCCAGGAUUAAGCACCGCACUGCACGGAGCCAUGCACUGAGUGUGGAGCAAAUGGUUUGUGUGGCCUUGCGCUUUUUUGCUAGUGGAGCCUUCCUGUACUCAGUGGGGGAUGCAUUUACAUUUACAUUUACAUUUAAGUCAUUUAGCAGACGCUCUUAUCCAGAGCGACUUACAAAUUGGUGCUUUCACCUUAUGACAUCCAGUGGAACAGACACUUUACAAUAGUGCAUCUAGGU
Long non-coding RNA from Oncorhynchus nerka (sockeye salmon), 1931 nucleotides. RefSeq lists it as uncharacterized. NCBI's taxonomy places the organism in Eukaryota, Metazoa, Chordata, Actinopteri, Salmoniformes, Salmonidae. The transcript has 7 exons. The record is from RefSeq and is a predicted model, not a curated record.